CGUCUCACAAGUUCUAAAUAAAUCAUAAUUUUUUUGGUAUUCUCGUACGUGUGAUGCCUUUUUGCUAAAUGAAGACAGCUAGAGCAUGGCGUGGAAGCUUAAAAGAUAUAUAAUGAUGUCUGGUGUUCGACAACGACGAAAUUUUAAAGGGCCAAACUGGGUUAUUAUAUUAGUGUGCUUAGUCAGCAUAUUUUUAGUUGGAUUAUAUAUCUACCAGCCCAGGAAUACUGCUGCCUGCUAUAUCUUUCUGUCCCGUGGCUGUUCCGAUCUUGAAAACACUCCAGCAGUUCCUUCCAGAGAAUUAACAGAUGAAGAAAACACAGCUCGGGUGGUCAUCACGGAAAUUUUGAAAUCAUCUCCUGCUGCUCCAAAGAACGCGAAAGUCGCUUUCAUGUUUUUGACUCCUGGCCCAUUACCGUUUAAAAUGCUAUGGGACAAGUUCUUUCAAGUAAAAGAACCUGUUUUGAUCCAAACAGACCUAACCCGUCAUAAGACCCACACGUAUUUCAUUUUUCACACAAAGGUAUUUCGGGUGCUUUUAUUCGCCUGAGUAAACUGGUGACAAUGAACGGGCGUCAGGUGCUUCUAUUCGCCUCAUAACUGAUUAACUGACCAUGUGAGAUAAAAGAAGACGCCUUUGUUUGGAUUAAGUAUAGAUCGAGUAAAGCUUCCCUUGAGUGGGAUAACUGGGUUUCGUUUAAUGUUGGGGCUCUGUUGUAAUUUGCUUUUCCUCCUUGUAUUCCAACCAGUGGCUGGUUGCUUUAUAUUUAUAUAUAAAGUUUGUUGCAGUUCAAAAAAAUAUAUAUAUAACAUUCUUCUGUUGUUUUGAGACCGAAACACAAUUAAUAAGAUUUUUUUUAAAUGACAGAUGCAGACAUGGGAUACUAUUGCUGGAGGCGAUUCAGAGAACCAGGUAACAAAAUUUCUGCAUAAGCGAGCACAACCCCAGCGAGCCCAACGCAACGGCGCAGUGAGCGCAGCCGCAUCGACGUCUAAUAUCAAUUUCUAUUGGUUCAAUUUAGUAUCUCAAUGAGACUACCAGAAUGCCCAGGUCAAUGAAAGAUCUUUUAAUGCCAUCAAGUGAUAUAAGAGAGUUUUGUAUAUGUAAUGCCCAAACGAGUUGAAUUGGUCAUUGUUGCGAGAGAAGCUACCUUGGGCUUGUUCAAAGAUUGUAAAGGAAUAACGGAACAGGGUUCUGCUGAGCGUGACAAGCAUCAAAUGAUGCAGCUGGGCUUCAAUCAGCUACAGCAUGGGCUCAAAUGUUGUCUCAAUAGGCGAUUUUCAGCUUCAACAUCAACUAUAGCUUAUGCAACCUACAAAUCCCAGUUUGACAACUUAGCAUAAUCUCCAAGAUUGCAGUCUACAUGGGCCGGUAGCAUAUCACAAACAUCAGGCCCUUUGGUGAUCUAACUGCAAAACAAUGGAUUCGCUUCCUAUUGCUUCGGUUGCUCGAGUCAUGCUUCCAAGUGGAGGUCCUGUGAAAUGUAAUUGGACAGGGCACAUAUGCAUAUGAUACUGAACUAAUGUUAUUUCUCCCUUUCUUUUAUUGUGGUAAAGUUUUUAUGACAUUUUAUUUUCUAUAUGUACAUACUAUGCAACGGUUUUUGGGACUUGUAUUUAUCAUCGUCUUUUUUCUU
Helianthus annuus (common sunflower) is the source of this 1637-nucleotide long non-coding RNA. RefSeq lists it as uncharacterized. The transcript has 5 exons. The record is from RefSeq and is a predicted model, not a curated record. NCBI's taxonomy places the organism in Eukaryota, Viridiplantae, Streptophyta, Magnoliopsida, Asterales, Asteraceae.